RNAcentral lists this unclassified non-coding RNA (46 nucleotides) under Trypanosoma cruzi. RNAcentral describes it as "guide RNA". The record is from RNAcentral. Lineage: Eukaryota; Euglenozoa; Kinetoplastea; Trypanosomatida; Trypanosomatidae.
UAGAGACGAGGUACAAAGAUAAAUGAAAUGAGUAUUAAGAAAUUUA